CCUACGGGAGGCAGCAGUGAGGAAUAUUGGUCAAUGGCCGGAAGGCUGAACCAGCCAAGCCGCGUGAAGGACGAAGGUGCCAAGCAUUGUAAACUUCUUUUGUCAAGGGAUAAAAUCAGGCACGAGAGCCUGACCGUGGGUACUUGAAGAAAAAGCAUCGGCUAACUCCGUGCCAGCAGCCGCGGUAAUACGGAGGAUGCGAGCGUUAUCCGGAUUUAUCGGGUUUAAAGGGUGCGUAGGCGGAUUGUUAAGUCAGCGGGAAAAGCCCGGGGCUCAACCUCGGCGAGCCGUUGAAACUGGCAGUCUUGAGAUGUCGAGAGGUAUGCGGAAUGCGCAGUGUAGCGGUGAAAUGCUUAGAUAUUGCGCAGAACUCCGAUUGCGAAGGCAGUACACCGGCGGCGAUCUGACGCUGAGGCACGAAAGCGUGGGUAUCGAACAGGAUUAGAUACCCGAGUAGUC
RNAcentral lists this ribosomal RNA (459 nucleotides) under uncultured bacterium. Its description in RNAcentral is "partial 16S ribosomal RNA". It matches the Rfam family "Bacterial small subunit ribosomal RNA", at positions 338 to 795 of the family's 1533-position model. The record is from RNAcentral.